GAUGAACGCUGGCGGCGUGCCUAAUACAUGCAAGUCGAGCGAACAGACGAGGAGCUUGCUCCUCUGACGUUAGCGGCGGACGGGUGAGUAACACGUGUAUAACCUACCUAUAAGACGGGGAUAACUUCGGGAAACCGGAGCUAAUACCGGAUAAUAUAUUGAACCGCAUGGUUCAAUAGUGAAAGACGGCUUUGCUGUCACUUAUAGAUGGAUCCGCGCCGCAUUAGCUAGUUGGUAAGGUAACGGCUUACCAAGGCAACGAUGCGUAAACGAACUCAGAGAGUGAUCGGCCACCCUGGAACGUAGACACGGUCCAGACUCCUACGGGAGGCAGCAGAAUGGAAUCUGACGCAAUGGGCGAAAGCCUGACGGAGCAACGCCGCGUGAGUGAUGAAGGUCUUCGGUUCGUAAAACUCUGUUACUAGGGAAGAACAAAUGUGUAAGUAACUAUGCACGUCUUGACGGUACCUAAUCAGAAAGCCACGGCUAACUACGUG
This 497-nucleotide ribosomal RNA is filed under the name uncultured bacterium. RNAcentral's name for it is "partial 16S ribosomal RNA". It matches the Rfam family "Bacterial small subunit ribosomal RNA", at positions 28 to 507 of the family's 1533-position model. The record is from RNAcentral.